AGACCCGUAAUGCCAACCUGACCCGGUUUUACGGGUCUAUUCUCCUGAAAGAAUUUCAAUUCGCACGGACUCAUUGCCCAUUUAUGUACUCUUACAAAUUGCAAGUUCCGAAUCUCGUAACUCUCCCAUUUCUGAACCAAUGAGGACGUUACUGUACAGUACUAGCGGAGUGUCAACUCUUUCAUAUUUACCAUUUUGCCAUUGUACUUCCUCUCUUUCCCUUCUCAACUCCCUCUCUUUAUCUCUUCUUCGUCCUUCAACAACCAAAUACCUGUCUCGACAAACCUCAANNNNNNNNNNNNNNNNNNNNNNNNNNNNNNNNNNNNNNNNNNNNNNNNNNNNNNNNNNNNNNNNNNNNNNNNNNNNNNNNNNNNNNNNNNNNNNNNNNNNNNNNNNNCCAUGAUGCUGUUUUAGAGGAUAUGUGGAAGCUUUUAACAGGUGGAAAUUGAGAGAAACUCUUCCAGCUGAUGCCCAUAAAAAGGUGAGUGGGAUAGUAAAAUAGUCUGUAUCCUUUGGAUUUAUUAGCAAAGUAGCAAGAAAAUGUAAGUUGGGUUUUAUGUCUGCAUUUAUUCUGCAGGUUAAAUUGAUGUGCUCUUAUUGCAAGAAUCAUGGUGAUACUGAAGUCCCUGACCCUUACUAUGGUGGACCUCAAGGUUUUGAGAAGGUAAUUUAUGAAAUUAUCCAUCUUAUCAGUCAUGAAGAACAGUUGAUAAAGUCAUUUAGAUAUUUGGGGGCUUAGAAUAGUACAUAACUCAUUGUAGAUUGCAGUUAAGAAAGCCGUGUUGUUAGAAUACACGGGAACUAUAAUACAAUUGUCAGCAAGCAAACAAGUUAAUUGGGUUGGAAAAUUAUGAUGUCUGAUAAAUACUGGAGUGAAGUCUCAACAAUUUUUUCUAAAAGGACACCACACUGUCGAGCUAGAAUCUAAGUAUACUAGUUAUCUUUUGCUUUGAGACUUUCGAGGAGAUAACUUGAGACCAUCCAGUAUGCAAAAUUUUGACAGGUAGGGGAUAUAUACCUUAUGUUAAGUAUUUUUCAUGAAAAACAAAAUCACGAGAUAAAUGUUUUCUCCUUGUGAAUGGGACUCUAGCUCUGAGCCCUGAAUUGAAGUAGAAUCUUCCUUUGCUUUCCUGCUUGGCUACCUUGAAAUGGUUCCAAUAGUGGUUGCUAUUGGAGGGAAGUAGUUUGCUUAACCAUGCAUUUGCAGUUCCAGUGGUGGUGAUGUAUGCUCUAACUGGUAGGGGUGACAGUCUGGUGGCUUUGGUGGACAUGAUAUCAGGAAUGGUAUGAGAAGUUUCUGUAUUGGCAAUGAUACUAGUAUCCUUGAUGUCAUGAGAAAAGAAGAGGUGUUUUUGGUGUUCCAUAGAUAAACAAUGCUGAUACAGAGUGAUAAGAGAAUCUAUUUAAAAGUAGGAUAACAGCAGAUAUCCAGGCAGGAAGAUAAACAGUUUCAUUGUGUUUAAUUUCAGGAAAUAGUUUGAACUGGAGGAAUCCUUCUGAUAAGUAGGAUAAUCUUCUACAGCAGAUAUGUAGAUCUAAAGAAUGAAGUACAUUCCUCGAGUGAAUUCAUAUGUUAUUAGUUCUACCCUAACAAAUAAAAUGUGUCCUGAUAUUCAGGUUUAGCCAAUCCUGUAAGCAUUAGUGAUAUCGAGCUUGUUAAAGUUACUCUGGCCAUAUAUACCUUCUACAGAUAAUUCACCAUGCUCAUCUCAUAUAUUAAUAGAAAGGGGGUCACCCUGGUCAGUUCUAAUUUGGAACUAUAAGUUGAUUGGAAUUUACAUACAUAAUUAUUUGGCUCUUCAUGUCUUGCUUGAAGCAUUAGUUUGCUAUGCUUUACCUUGCUGAUUUCUUCUGUGUGCACGUAAUGCACACACUUUAGAAACGAUUGAAAUUAACCCUAGUAAUUAAUGGAGAGAAGGAAAGCUGUUAAAAUCACGAUUGAGGAUGCGGUAUCCUCCAACUAAAAAAGAAUGGAGCAUGGGAUAAAACAAAAAAAAACAUUUAAUUAAAAAUAGUGACUUUAUCCUUUUCUAAAGUAGAUAAGGAAACUUCCUAAAGGAACCAUUUUCACUUUAUAUUUCCAAAAAGAAACCAUGAGCCCUUGCCCAAAAAGAAGCAAAGAAAAUCAUUCUGUCUCAAAUCAUGUGUGACGGUGAUGCAGAAUGGAUUAGUUACAGAUUAUCUAAAUAAAUUGAAAAUUACAAUUCUAUUCAGUAUAAAACUAUUAUACCAUUUAGAAGUCUAUUAUUAUGGUUCUAGCAACUUUUAUUAUUUAUUUUUAUUAUUUUUUAGUUUUUCCAUUUGUAUAAGUGGUAUUUCUUAUUUUAUUCGGAGUUGUAUUUCUAAUUUUAUUAGUAUUUCUUUUCUAUCUUAUUAAGAAUUUUUCAGUUUUAUUGGUUUUAAUAUUUUUUAGUUUAAUUUAUUUCAAAAAAAUAUUUUUUAGUUUAAUCCUAUUUAAUAAAGGUUAUUUAGGAAAAAUUAUAAAUAUUAUUGUAAUUUCAUUUCUUGAGACAAUAUUAGUUAUUUAAUAAAAUAUUUUGAGAAUUUCUCAAUUUUCUGAUUGCGUGAUACAAUCAAACUUUUAAAUGUGAUGUUUAAGAUUUCUUAUAUGAGGUGUUUAAAAAACACGAGGUUUGAUAUAUAGGUUUUAUCCUAAAUUCUUAAGUAUGAAAAUUAACCCUAAUUGUCCUGCAUCAGUUUGGUAUUAGAAUUAAAAGUUCCUAAACCAAAUACUCAAAUGCUAAUACCCGAAUAGCUCCAAACCAAUCUGAAUAAAAAAAUGUAAUAGUAAAACCCUAAACACUCCAAGCGAUUGCCAGUCCAUUCAUCACUAGGCGGUGAUCGAGAUAGCCCCUAUCCCUAGCCUCAUAAGACUCUAAUGGCACACACCUGAAGCCCGAUUGGUAAGCUAAAUUGAAAAAGCACCACUGGUUAUUGCAAGUCGUCCUAGCUGCCACCACUCUUGGCCUCGUACUUCAGCAUAUCCAUAUCUCACAUCGGCCUUUGAUAUGCAACUAGCACCUCUAGUCCAGUUGACUAAUUGAAGCUUGUUGUCUCCAGUGAUAAGAAGUCGGUGCAUGAACCAUACCAUGUCUGAUCGAGUGUAGAGCUUACUCAAUCCACUUUGUUUGACUUCCCUGAGAUCUGAAUUCACAUGGAAUUGUGGUGCAUGAUAUUGCUUUGGGAUUGUUGGACUCAGUCUAACUUCAGGGAAGAUACUUCUUUCUCAAGUAUAGAUCAUCCAUUGGUGUCUUCUGAAGCCGGGGAAAUGAUGCUUAAUACGACUCAGAAGCUGUUCCCUUGGGUAAAGUCGUAUCACCACUCUUCAUGCCACCACCUAAAUGAGAUCAAAUGGGGCCCAACCCCGUUUAGGCUCAAGAAUAAGUGGCUUAAAUGCAGAAUUUUGGUAGAUGGUUAGUCAUUGGUGGGGGAGAAGAACUUAAAUGCUAUGCUAGGAUUUAGAGUUGGUAAUGCUAUCAUUUAGAGUGGCUAAUAAGCUGAAUUAUGUCAAUUUAAAAUUAAGGCUUGGAGCUCUAUCUAUCUUGACAAUGUGCAGAAGUGAGCAAGAGAAAAGAAAGAAACUGAAGUUUUUGACAAGAAAGUCGUUGAGAUGCGGCUUUGAUUAAUAGAAAUAGUUAUCCCGGAACCUCACCUAAUCACAAAUAAGGGAUUUGUUUGUUAACACUUUGAUUAGUACGUAGUAGUUCUCCCAGCACCUCAUCGAAUCGCAAGGAAAGGAAAUUGUCAAUUUCCCACAUCUAAGCUUGGUCUAGGGGCCAGAUAUGAUGAAAUCUUGGAGCCAGCUGGUUGCUUGCUUCCUUGCCUGUUGGACUUGACGUUCUAUAGUGAAGCCCGUCAAAGAGAAUAAUUAAGCUUUAUUGAUCAUAUUAAUUUUUAUAUAAUAAAGCUAUUUAGAAUAGACUCCUCGGAGGCCAGCUCCUAAUCCAAUUCCUAAUUUAGCAAAAAUUUAAAUACAUCUUACUUAACGUAGACUAGAAUCUUAAACCAGUUACUCCUAAAUUUUUGCCAACUCAGAAGAAGUCUAGAAUGUGACUGGGCUCCAUAAUUGUUAUGGGUCCUUUGAUGUCUUCAAACUCUCCGAAAUUAGUUCCUGUUAUCAGCAACAUUUUUCCUCUCCCUGACGAGGUGCUUGUUAGCAAACACCAAAGUGGGAUGUUGUGGUAAUAUGUUCUCUGCUACUUCCAAGGAUGCUCUGUUGGCGAGAGACCCUCAAGGGAUGAGCAGUUCGCGCCGCUGAGCAGCUAUCCUCUGCUACUGAAUGGCCUUUGGUUCACCUUUAGUGACUGAUGGUAGAGAAGGCUACACUUGUUCGUCACCACACCAUCUUUUGAGACAUAACACAUGGAAUACUGGGUGAGCACGUGCCCUAUCCAGUGACUCCAAAUGAUGGGCUACUUCUCCUAUUUGUUAUUGAUUUCAAAAGGACCAUAGAAUCUGGAGCCAUCUUCCUAGAAUGUCCACAACCUACUGACAACUAUCAAUAGCAGUAGAGUGAGAGUACCUGUCACCUGCUUCAAAGUGUACAUAAGCGGUGACGGGCAUCAUACGUGGUCUUUGUAGCCACUUGGUUUUGGACGGGUUGAUCACAAAGAUAUCAGAAAAUCUGGUCUUGGGGUUUCAGUCCCAUCUCUACUAUUUGUACUUAGCUACCCCUGGGUAGUUGGAUACAACUUGGGGGGAGGACUUCCAUACACUAACUCAGGUACGGUGCACGUCAAGGAGGAGCAGUAUUCAAUGUUAUAAUAGUAGUGUAAGACUUAAGAGAAUUUUAGGUAGAAAAGUAUGUUCUUUCAGCAGAGAAUUCUCAUUAUAUAUAUAGAUAUAUAUAUAUAUAUGUGUGUGAAAAAGACAAUCUAAUUGUCAGCCCUAAAAUCAGCCAAAAUAUAAUAUAUAUUUGAUUUACAACUAAUAUAUCAUAAUCAUGGAAAGAAUAAUACAAGAUAUGAGAUACUUGUCAAGGCUGUAAAAAGCAUAAAAUUUGGUGAUUUUAUUGAUAAAAUUUGCUAACUUUGAAAUAUAAAAUAUGCUGACUUUAAGAGUGAAUAUGAUUGACUAAUUGUGAAAUCUGCUGUGUUAAUUGUGAAAUCUGCUGAGUUUAAGUAUAAAUUUGCUAACUUUAAUUGUGGAAUCUACUGACUUUAAGUGGCCUACUAAUACCUUUGAUAUCUCCCCUCAAAUUGACGCCGGUAAAUUUGUAAGUAUCAAUUUACCGAGAAGAAAAUUAUGGCACUUUAUUUGCUUUAAGAUAUUCACAAUUUUUAGAGUGGUAGAAAUAUUGGGAAAGUGAUAAUUUAACGGUUAUAGGCCUUCCAGAUGGAGUGACAAGCUAUCUCUAUGUGCUUCGCGCAUUUCAUGGUAGAUAAGGUUGGCUACAAAUUGGAUGACAAUAAUGUUGUCAGUAUGUAAUGCAGUUGGUUUAACUUGGUAGAAACCAAGCUUUGUAAGAAGACUACGCCACCAAAUUAUCUCAGAACAUGCAAUAGACAUGGUGCAGUACUCUGUUUCAAUGGAUGAUUUGGAGACAAAAUCCUGCUUUUUGCAUUUCCAAGAGAUAAGAGUAUUACUAGGAAACACACACCAUCCAGUAAUAGAUCUCCUGGUAUCUAGGGAACCAGCCCAAUCAGCAUCACUGUAGGUUUGUAACUGGAGUGAAAAAUUAGUAGGAAAGAAUAAACCACGGUGCGGGUGCCAAACACAUAUUGAUUAAUGCAUCAAACUGCAAAUAGGUGGAGAUAUCAAGGGGAUUGCAUUAAUUUGCUGACAAUAUGAACAACAUAAAAAAUAUCUGGUCAAGUGAUGGUUAGAUAGAUAAGACUACCAACUAAUUUCUUAUAUGAAAUACUAUCAUCAACAAACGUUCCUUUGUCACAUCGAUAUUUCUUAUUAAUUUCCUUUUAGGGUAUCAACAGAAGUAAUAUAUGUAAGCUCAGUAACUGAAUUGGAUCUUGAAUAUACUUGUGUUGGUUCAAAAAGAUACCUUGAGGUCAAAGAUGUACCUCUAAUCCCAAGAACUAGGUAAGCUAACCAAGGUCUUUCAUGUAGAAAGUAGAAGGCAACAAUUUCCGAAUCUCGAAGAGGGCCUUCUUAUAAGAACCAAUGAAAACAAUGUUGUCCACAUAAACAAGGGGUACCAUCAUGCCCUUAUAUGUCCUCCGUAGAAAAAAGAAAGGAGUCAUACUGACUCUGAAUAAAUAAAAAACAGAGUAGGAUGGAUCGAAACUUUUCAAACCACACUUUUGGUGCCUGCUUCAAACCAUAAAAAAACAUUUUAGUUUACGAAUAUCAUUAGGUGAGAAAGUGGGCAUACUAGAGGGAAGUUUGAUAUAAACUUCUUCUUUCAGAUCACCAUGGAGAUUGCGUUCUUGACAUCCAUUUGAUAUAACGACUAUGACUGUGAUGCAAUAAGGGCUAGGAUGGUUCACACAGUGGUCAUCAUGGCUACUAGAGUGAAGGUCUUGUUAGUCUAGGAUAUACUCUUGCUUGUUGCCAAGAACAACCAAGCGAGCCUUGUAACAGUCUAUGAAUCCAUCAAAAUGAAGUUUGAUAGAAAACAAGAACUUACUGCCUAGAGGUUUCACAGAUGGGGUACAUGAAAUAAUCCCAAGUUUGGUUUUCUUCAAGUACAAAAAGUUUUGUUUCAAUAGGUUUUUGCCAACACUUUUGCAAAAUUGCUUGUUUAUAAUAAGAGAGAGUAGGAGUAAAAGAAAAAGUGGUUGUUAGAAAUAAAAGAGGCAUGAAACCAAAUGUAUAUGGAGGUUUAGAAAUUUGAGUAUUGCAUUGGAGAGUAGCAGAUUCAGUCACAAGAACAGGAUCAACAACCAGGGAAUGAUCUUGAAGGGGCUCGGGAGGUGCUAAAGUCUAAUUUGAUGUAAUGAAUGUGCGUCGCUGAUACACCAGAAAAGAUUUAGAUGAUGGACCAACAGAAAUGUUAGAUAAAUAAGGGAAAAACAAAAAAUGAAGAAGAAAGAGGGUCUUAGAGGUGAAUGACAGAAAAAUAUUGAUUUUCUAGGAAGAUCACAUUUUUAAAAACUCAGAUACGAUGUAGGUUUGAAUUAUAGCAAAAAAACCUUUUUAGUGUGCAGAAUAUUCAAAAAAGCACAUUUAACUUAUUGAGUUGUACUUUUUGCGUUCAUGUACGGGAAGAUGAACAUAACACACACAACUAGUGGCAUGAAGAUUAGAAUACAUUGGAGUAUGACCAAAUAACCGAGUGAAGGGUGAAACAUGAUUCAAUGAGGGAGAGGGCCAUCAAUUGAUGAGGUAGAGUGUAGUGGAGAGAGCUUCACACCAGAGCUAAGCGGGCACAAAUGAUUCUAAUAAAAGAGUGCGAACAACAUUGAGAAUGUGAUAGUUCUUUCUUUCAGCUACCCUAUUUUGUCGUGGCGUCGAAGGACAAGACCAUUGAGAGAUUAUGCCAUUAGUUUUGUAAUGAUUCUUGAAAUAAAAAAGACAUGCACUACCCUCAUUUUCAGAGUGAAGAAUUUUGGUUUUAAUAGAAUUUUGUGUAUGAAUAUAUGUAUGAAAAAGUAUGAAAAUAGAUAAUACAUCGUCUUUCAAAUGCGACAAAUAGAUCCAUGUGGAACAACUAUAGUCGCUGAUAAAAGUGACGAAAUACUCAUAAUCGAUAUGAGAAGUAACAGGUGUCAUGCCCCACAAAUCAUUAUGUCAAUAUCAAAAGGGUGGAUUACAUUUGGUGUAUAAGAGGGAAUGAUAAUGUUUUACUUCUUCCCAUUUUACAAGAAUUGCAAUCAAAUUGAAUAGAAUUAAAGGAUGGUGAUUUGUUUAUUCCUAAAGAAACCAGACUUUAGCAAAUCAUGAAAUACAUUAGAAUUGGGAUGUUCGAGACGUUUAUGCUAUCCUUGAUAAUCAACAAAAACAAAAUUGCAAAUGACAAAGAGCAUGGAGAAAUAUGAAGAAAAAAAGAGUUUGAGAAAGCAUAGACUUCUACUUUAGGCCCCUUUGCGAUCAUUUUCCCUGAUUGUUGAUCUUGCACAACACAAUGAGAUAUGAAAAAUUUUACUUUAUAAUUAUUUUUAACUAACUGAUCGAGAUAAACAAGAUUAGUGGUAAGGCUAGGAGAGACAAAUACAUUAUCUAGAUUGAAAGUAUCAACGGUAAUUUUGAUGAGUAAUUUGCUCCCAUCGGCAAUAUGUAUCUUGAGAUUUCCGAAUAUUUGUUUACAUUAGUAAGAUGUGAGCAUUGUUUGUCGUAUAAUUGGAAGCCACAUAAUCAAAGUAUCAAGGAGAUGAUGUAGAGAAGGGUUUACUUGAGAGUCUAUUUGUUGAAUUAUUACAGGGGUCACGAAUUGAACGGGAGCAGGAGCAUUUUGUGUUAGAUGUGCUGUAUCUAUAUAACCACCAGUACUAGAACCAACUGAUGCAAUAUAUGCAGCUGUAGAUAUCUUGGACGGUCUGGUAGGACAUUCCUUGAUAAUAUGACCAUCCUUGUUGUAGUAAUUAUAAAAUUAUCUAAGAUAGUUUGAAGCAUAAUGACCAAAUUCUUUAUAAUAAAAACACUGGUUAGUGCUCAUGACUCUUUCUCUUGUCUUACUUUUUGCUGCAUAUGUUAUAGAGCCAUAAGUGGAUCUUUGUUAUUCCAUGGUAGUUUGAGUCAGAUGGCAUUGCUCCUCAUAAAACAAAUCAUUGAGAUAUGUUUCCAAGGAGGGGACAAGAUCUCGGUUUAUAAGAUUGGACCUAGUGCUUUCGAACUCAGAUAUUAGUUUUAUAAGAAAUUGGUCCCUUUUAGUAAUUUUGUGAAUACAUUGAAUAGAACUAAGACUUUCAUUAGGUAAGGUAGCAUAAAUUAUAUCAGUAUAUUCAGUCCAAAGAUUUCAUAAAACUAGAGUAAAAUUCAGUUAUAGAGAGAUUAUUUUUGCUGAAAAAUAGCUAAUUCAUGUUCAAACUGGAACAUGAGCAGUAUUAUGCUGACUGCAGAGUUUCUUUUGGUAAGUCCAAAACUCAUUUGCAAUCUUGAGAGAUCGAAGUUCAAAAUGAUGUUGGAUUCGGCAUAUCCUAGGAUCCAUGCCAUGAUUUGGGCAUCCUUGGCCUCUAAAUUUGUGUGACCAUCCUUAUCCUUGUUUUUGUCAGGAAAAGGAUUUUUGCCAUUUAUAUGACCCUGUAGGUCCUUACCUUUGACAAGGAUCUUGAAAUGGAAUCCUUAGGUUGAGUAGUUUUUGCCAUUAAGACAAGUCAGGAAGGCAUUAUACUUGUCUGAAGACAUGAGGUAAGAUAACUUGAUCAAGGAUAACUAAGAACAAAGGGCUGAACUAGGAUUGAGCUGAAACUAGCUCUAAUACCAUGUAAGACUUAGAGAAUUUUAGGUAGAAAAGUAUGUUCUCUCAGUGGAGAAUUCCCGUGAUAUAUAUUUAUAUAUGAAAAAUACAAUCUGAUUUUCAGCCCUAAAAUUAGCCAAAAUAUAUUAAAUAGAUUUGUUCUAUAGCUAGUAUAUCCUAAUUAAGAAGUGAAAAAAAGAUUUACAAAGAUAUGAGAUACUUGUCAAGGCUGUACAAAGUAUAAAAUCUGUUAAUUUAAGUAUAAAACCUGCUGAUUUUAAGUGUGGAAUCUGCUGACUUUAAGUGUGAAAUCUGUUGCUUUAAUUGUGAAAUCUGCUGACUUAGUGUAAAAUCUUUUAAAUUUAAUUGUGAAAUCUUCUGACUUUAAGUGGCCAGCUAAUACCUUUGACAAGUAGUCAGCCCAAGAUAGUCAAUCCAUCCAACAUUUUGGCUUAUCACUUGUAAAACACCUUUGAUAUAUCUAGAUUGUGCGAUUAACAAGCUCAAAUAUGGCCCUGAUUGGGGAUGGUAGGCUGAACUAAACCAACUUGAUGCUCGAUAAAUAAAAAAGUUUUUCCAGAAAUCACUUGUGAAGGUGACAUGGCCUUCACUACCUAUUGGUUGGGUAAACUUAUGUAGCUUAAAGAUGGUAUGAAAGAACGACCAUGUCGCAUUUACAACGUAAGGGUGAGACAAUGGUAAAAAAGAGGGCAUAUUCUGAGAAGAGAUUGACCAAUGGAAGGAAAACUUUUUUGCCAUUUGAGUUCAGGAGACCUUGCACAAUGUCCAAGGAGAUGUGGGCUAUAUUUUUUCACUGAUGGCUAGUGAUAGUAGGAGGCCUGCAGGUUCCAAUUGUUACACUUUUUCGCAUUAGCAAGUUGGGCAACACUUGACAAAAUCCUGGACUUGUUGCUAAUGGUUCUCCCAAUAAAUCACCAGCAAUUUUUGGAAAUAUCUUUUAGUACCUUUUUGUCCUUGAUUAUGGAAGGCAGAUAAGAUAACAGGCACCUGAGAUGACAUUUGUAGGAGAAGCACUCUUUCCUCCUAUAAUAAGAGACCAUAUUGGAAGGUCUUGGGAUCACCAACUUUAUCCUCUUGAACAUGUUUAACUAACUUUUGUAAAGUGGGAGAGCUAGUGAUUUCUUCCCGACUGGCAUUGAAUAUCUCCAAACGAGGCAUGAAAAUUGCCUCCGAGGUGCCAAUGUCUUCAAAUUGUCUGGAGGGGACAUCUGCCACCACAUUCUGUCUUCAUGCUUGAUUUUCAACUUCAAAAUCAAAUUCCAUCAGCUUGACUCCAGUAGAAUUGAAGGUUGUAAUGGUCAGUAUUUACCAGAAAAGACCUUCCUUGUAGGCAAGGCCUCCAAUGCCGCACAGCUUGGACAAACCAACUUGUUCUUUGUCAUAUGCUGAUAGCUUGUGGUGGUAGGUGUCCAAGAACCUACUAAAGAAGGCUAUGAGCUUCCCAGCUUGUUGAAGGAUUGCUCCAAUCCCUUAGUCUGAUGCAUCACAUUCUAUGACCAAUUUUUGAGAAAAAUCAGGGAGUGCUACCACUGGUGUUGUAGUCCAGGCCUUUUUGAGGUGUUCGAAGGCCUCAAAAGCUUUGGGAGUCUAAAUGAAGGAAUUCUUACAUAUCAUGGAAGUUAAGGGGGCAGUGAUGAUUCUAUAGUAGCCUAUUAACACCAAAUGUUUGCAUAGUCCCUUAAUAAUAAUUGGUUUUGACCAUUGUAGCAUAACCAAAAUUUUUGAAGUAAUCUACUACCCCUUUUGACAUGAAAUUUUGUUGCCCGAGCAGUAAACUUGAGUCUGGCCAAAAAGGUGCUUUGAUUUCCUUGGGAACAAACAGUGACUGCUUAGUAAGGAAAGAAACUGACCUUAGGCGGCCUGAGUUCUAACACUUGCAUUUUACUUUUAGUGAGGAUGUAAUAAAAAAACACCGAAACAAACUGAGUUUAGGUGCCCCAAGUACUCCCACUACGUCAUGCCCCCCUAGCUUCUCUAUGGAAUUUCUAUAUUGAGGUCACCUCAAGACAUCAUAAAGGAAAACAAAUGCCACAGAUGUAAGUGAUCUCCUUCCAAAUAGGAAAUCUUAGGCCCAAGCUAGUAGAUCCAUAAAAAAUGAACCACCAGUUACCUUAUCCUAGGAAUGUAAUCCCCAUUGUGUCCUAAAGAUGUAGCCUUCAUGUGCUGUACGUGCAUCAACCUUUAAUUUGUCAAUAAGCAUGUCAUUUUCAUUGGUAACACUUGGUAUCCUUUUAUAUGUGAUCAGAAACCCCAACAUAUAAUUUAGUACAAAAAGUUAAAUCCCUAAAUGAAUCAUCUACACUUAACUCAUAAUCAACAUAUGAUUGCAAACUAAGAUAAUUAGGAAACAAGAAAUAGAAUUGAUUAGACGUCAUGAGAUUAUCUCUAUAAAUAAAAUCAAUUCCUAGCUAAAUAGAACGGUAUGAGAAAUCUCCCAAAGAGCCUCACAAAAGCCGAAAGCAAUUGUUUAUAAAAAGAACUUGAAACUUUAUUGAUAUGAAUGAUGUUUUUACAACCAAAGGAAUAAAACUUUUUAUAGGUGUAGUAGUCAUCCACGAACAUGGAUCCCUAAGUUUCUGGUACAUCUCUAUGCGAUAGUAAGAAGGUACAAAUAUCUUUCUUAUAAUGGAUUUGAUAUCCCUCCAUGUUGAGACAGAUCGGUUUUUGGUAUACCUUCUGUUAGUUAGCACUUGAACACACCACACUAGAGCAUAGGCGGUAAAAACUACGACGGCUAGCUUUACCUUCUUUUCUUCACUAUAGUUAUGACAGUCGAAGAUGAGUUCUACUUUCCAUUCCCACUCUAGGUAGGUUUUAGUAUCAUUCUGUCAAUUGAAAGAGAGAAUCUCUAUUUUGAUAGAGUUGCUAUCUGUCAAGUCCUCCCUCCAGUAAUCUCGAUCAACAUCUCUUUCAUUCUCAUCACAAGAUUCGGCAUCAUCUUGUGGAAGUAGGCGCCUUAUCUGGAGUGGGCUAUUGUUUCUUUGCCUCAUUCCAUCAAUCUUUGCUUCUAGACUUUUAAUCACCAGACUGAGUCAUGUAAACAUGGUGCCUAAAUACUCCCUUAGGUCUGUUGGACUCUUAUUUUCACUUGGUUGAGACAUUAAAAAAUCCUUGUAAGAAAAGGUUAGUAGAAAAUAACACUCUCGUAGAUCUCUCAUAUUUCUCUCACCUCGUAAUCUUCUUUAUUCGAGUUGAAUGUUAGAAUCGACUCCUCUUUAAUUAAGAUAUUCAAGUUUUGUCUUAAAACAUUGCAAGGAACCUUAGGGAAAAAAAUUUGCAACACAAUUCUAGAAGCCGAGCUUAAAUACACAGAUGAAAAUAAUGUGUUUAUAUAUGAGGAUAAGUAACUAGGAUGUCAUGGAGCACAAGUGCAAUGAAAAAAGGAAACUUACAGUGCAAGAAAAGACACUAUGAAUGUGAUAUAUAUCUUUUUUAUUUUUGUUUUUGAUUGUCUGAUGAGUACAAACAGAUACAAGGUAUGCCUUUUUUUUUCUACCAUGAAAAAUAAUAAAUAUGCAAUGAUAGAUUAUGCAAGAUAGUAAGAUCUAUUUAGUGCAUAAACUCUGAUAUCAAAUUAUGCGAAACCCAUGAUCAACCAAUGUAAUUAAAAACCUCAACAUAUAAUUUAGCACAAAAAUUUAAAUAUCUAAAUAAAUCAUCUUUACUUAAUUUACAAUUAAUUUAUGAUUGCAAAUUAAGAUAAUUGAGAAUUGAUAAGAUGUCACGAGAUUAUCUCGAUAAGUAGAAUCAGUUCUUGACUCAACAAGACGGUUGAAGAAAUAUCCCAAAGAGCCUCACAAAAGCCGAAAGCAAUUGCUUGUAAAAAAAACUUGAAACUUUAUUAAUUUGAAUGAUGUUUUUACAAUCAAAGGAAUAAAAUCUUUAUAUAGCUAUAAACUUAACUAAUUCGAGUACAAAUCAAAAACUAAAUUAUAGGAGAAUUCUGAAUACAUUUUUAUUUACGAUUCUAAUUAAAAAAACAAAUUAAAAACGCGUAAAUAUAAAAGAAAUAAAAUUCUUCUCUCUUGAAUAAGAUUCCUUGUUGUCCCCGAAUUCUUCCUCUUUAUUUUAAUUGAAUUUGGAUUUCAAUAAUUAAUUAAUUUUUUAUGAAGAAGUUGUGUUGAAGAUGUUUUAAAAAGUUUCUAACUUGAAGUAAAAAACAAACUUUCUUCCGUGAGAAAAUCAAGGAAGAUUUUGGGUUAGGAUAAGGACUCCUUUCGUUUGAUCUUUUCUUUGGUUCCAACUCUUUAAAAUAUUGAUUUAUGAAUAAGAAAUUCAAUUAGGACUCUAGAAUAAAGAGUUCCAGUCUUCUUAAAGCUCCCUUGCAGCAAAUCCUAAUUUAAUUUAGGAUUCAUAUUGCCGCACUGCACCAAGAGGGGAUGGCUUGAGAGAAACUCUCAUUAGAGAGAAUUUCUUCUAGGAUGGGACUCUUCUCCAUGCGUGUCUAGGAUUACAUUAUCCUAUAUCUCUUUAUUAGUGCAGUUUGUGUUCAACAGUCUUUGAUUCUCUCACUUCGCAGCAAUUACUUCAGUUUAUUGUUUUCUGGUCUGUGAAUAUUGAACAAGCCUUCAUUAGAUAACUCAAAAUUUGAGAUGAGGCAGAUGUCAAGUUGCUGAUUUUUUGUUUGAGUUACGUGGAAUCUUGGAGUGUUGUAACUUACAGCUACUAUAUUUAUAAACUGAUGUGACCAGAUCAUACGUUUUAAUUGAUAUGCGGAAUGGUGCUUUCUGGGCAGGUUUUGGACUUACUUGAAGAUGCUUGCCAAUCAUUGUUGGAAACCAUCUUGGCAGAUCAUGGCGAUGUUUAAAUACUUAAUUUGUGCAUGAGGUCAUGGUGGUCGAAUUAUAGACUCAAGCUGUUGGGGUAAAAUACCAAUUUUUCUGCUGGCCAGGGUCUUAUAUAUGAGAUGCCCAGUCAUCCGUCAGCCGUAAGCAAUCGGCUUUAAAUGUAUACAGGUGUCAUAUAUGAUUCCUCUGUUGGCAUUUUGGUGCCAUGAAAUUCUGAAUUUAAAUGUCAUUAUGCAUAUUUAUACAACCCAUAAUGAAAAUAUUUUUAUUCUUCCAGUAUUUGGAGGUGUCGGCAAGUCUUGCUCUGUCCGAAUGUUGGAUCCUUCCGACCUUCCAGAUGACAAACCGAAAAAUUCGUAUAUAUGUAUAUAUGUAUAUGUACUUGAUGUAUAAUGGGUGGGACUUAGAUUACAUGGAAUGGACUUACUUGAAUGAUCUCACAACGGCGAGGAUGAUUAGGUUAUCACGUAUGGGUCUCAAGGGAGUGACAAUUCUUUUAUGACUCAUUUUUGCCUAGAUGUACAGUACGGCGAGAUGGACAGCCUUCAUAUCCAGAAUCUAAGGCUACGAUUGGAAUCAUAAAACUUUGUAUAAUUUUUUUGGCAAUACAUUUCUAAUUUAAUUAGGAAAAAGGAUGCAAAAACCAUUAAAUAUUAUUGACUUCUUAUAGAUUUUAAAAUGAAAUUAAAUAAUUAUCUGAUGUCAAAACUAAUGGAAUUUGGAAUAUAUUAUUCUACUCUCACAUAUAAUUUUACAAGAGAUAAAUUUUAAUCUUUUUAUAGAGGAUUUUGGCUAUUUUUAACAUUUAAAAAAACGUAGAAUGAAAAAUAAAUUUCACAAAAAAAAUAUAGAAUGACAAAAGAAUGUUUAAAUCAUAGAAAAUAAUUUUGGCGAGUGGUAGAGAAUAUUUAACUUUACAAAAAGGGUUGGGCCUAGUGUCUCAAAAUGGGCCUGCAGAAAACCAAUUCUCAUUUUUCUCUCUGUUUCAAGCCCAAAUUGGGGGAUCCAAUGUGAUCUAUCUUGAUAUCAGCGCAUGAAGGCUGGUGAUAGGUCCCGAUGAGAAGCAACUUAAUCGAGACAUGUGUUCUAUUUUGAGCAAGAAAAACCACAAAUUUUAAAUGCAAAUUGAACUCCUUCAUUGCUGAUACUUGCAGUGUUUAAAUACAAAAAUUCUAUCAACUAUUUCUUACACCUAGGGGAUCACUUUAAUGGUGUUUUCUCUGGUGGAUUCCAAACAGAAGUUUCAACAAGCGAUGAAGGAGAUGGUAGGCCGAUCUGAUUGAAAUUGUUCCAAUGGCGAAGGUUGUGCGCAACACCAAUAAGUGCUUUGAGUUAUAACUAUCAGAGAUUCUAAUGAUAAUUAUUAUCACCACAUUCGAUUUAUUGUUUCAUUAUUGACGUGUACUAAAAUAAAAAUUAAGACCAAGAUAUUUAUUAAAUGUAUCUAAAUUAUUGUUAUAAUUUACUUAAAUUAGUAAAUAAUUAUUUUAUUAUGAAUAUUAUUUUUAACUAAUUUAAUAAAAAAAAAGUGUUAAUUCAUGAAAAUUUUCUUAAAAAGUCAUAGCUCCAUGAAGUACAUAAAAAAUAAAUUGCAGGUAAAUAAUAUUGAUUUACUCAAACUACAUUAUAAUUUUUAGUAAAUAUAUUUAAUAUAAUUACAUCAAUUGAUAUAUGUCCAAAAAGUAGAAAAUUAAUUAAAAUAUAAUCUUAUAAACUUAAUUAUAACUUGAUUAUUUAUUUAUCAGUUUUUUAAUACAAAAUUAAAAAUAUCUUUUAGAAUCAAUAAUUCUAUGAUUUAAUGAUUUUAACAUAAUAUUAAUUAAAAAAAUUAUUAAUUAUUUAAUAAUUAAUAUUUUUUUUAAAUAGUUUUAUAUUACGGGUCAAAUUAAAAGUCACAUGUAAAACAUAAAUACUGAGCACAAUGGCCAUGCUGUUAGUCGGCGGAACUUACGGUGCUACAGUAAAUACAAUUCACAAUUCCAUUAUUUAAUAAGUUGACUAUUAGUCUAUUGGAAGAUGUCGUGUUCACAUCUUAUUGGCAAAAAUAUGCAGUCUUUUCCUACUAUUCUCUGGUCUGCUCCGCACAUGAUUGCUAACUCCUUUACCAUAGAAGCGUGCGGAAGAGGACAUCCUCCAGAGUUAAAUAAGAAAUCACCUUUCAAAUUUCGUCUUUAAGCUGUAUNNNNNNNNNNNNNNNNNNNNNNNNNNNNNNNNNNNNNNNNNNNNNNNNNNNNNNNNNNNNNNNNNNNNNNNNNNNNNNNNNNNNNNNNNNNNNNNNNNNNNNNNNNNNNNNNNNNNNNNNNNNNNNNNNNNNNNNNNNNNNNNNNNNNNNNNNNNNNNNNNNNNNNNNNNNNNNNNNNNNNNNNNNNNNNNNNNNNNNNNNNNNNNNNNNNNNNNNNNNNNNNNNNNNNNNNNNNNNNNNNNNNNNNNNNNNNNNNNNNNNNNNNNNNNNNNNNNNNNNNNNNNNNNNNNNNNNNNNNNNNNAUGUUUCACCCGGGAAGAAGACCGGGUUGCUUGCUGUAGACCGAGACUCACAAAAGCUAAAACUGUUGCGGUCUGAGCCGAAACUGACUAGACCGGUUUGUUUUCCGGGGCAUGAAGCAUACGCAUGCGACAGAGACGCUUGUCUACAUAAGCCAUCAUCGUCGAGGGCCGAGAAAAAUUCAGCAUGCCGUUUCCCCAACUUGGUCAUACCCGGAGCUGAUGAACAAGGUAUGGUAGAUGGCUACAAAGAAGAUGAGUAUAGAGACUUAUACAUGCGUAACCUAUCGCAGUUCAACGAGACGCUGUCGCGUGGAGAAUCAAUGUGCAUGAAGUUCCAAUGGGACAUUUUGCUGGCUGGUAAAGCGGUUAACGCUAACGCCAAUUUGGAUUUGCGUCAUGGCUUUAGUGACGCUAUGAGAAUCAGCACUAGAAGCGAGAGAGGACCCACCAUUGCUUACCCUACAUCCACCGAAGAACAUAAUUAUUCAAAAUCGAAGGAGAAACUGGAAAGUGGAUUAUGUGAAGAGAGAGAUAAGCCUUUCUCGAACAACUUACAGAGUAAUCUUGGUUUGAAUGGAUAUUUUGGUGGGAUGUGUAAGGAAGGUACCUUUGAUCCAUCUAAUAGACACGAACAGAAUAGAAGAGAAAUACCAAGUGGAACUGUAGGUUACUUUGAUGGGUAUGGCCAAAAAAUGAGUUUCGACUCUUCUUCCAUCCGUGACCCCAAAUCGCCCUUGAAAGAACCGGUUAUGCACCGGAAUCUUAUCACUGGGGUUUUGACUGGAAACUGUAAGUGCAAUAAAGCGUUAAGGAGUGAGGUGGAUGCAUUGUCUAGUGAAUUUCCUCAUAGCAACAUGGUAGUUGCUCGACCGAGGCCCAGCACUGUAGACUCAGUUGUGGAUAGAAUCGAGGGAGCUGAUUCUUCUCUUCAUCAUGGUGUAAGAGAUAGCAGGAUGGCGUGGGACCAGUACAGUUAUUGCCGUGGACAAUCCCUUGAUCUCACUGGAGCAUCACGCAUGUUACGGCAAGAUGAGUUUAGACUCGCUCAUCUAUGCAACAGAAGCAAAUCCUAUCUGAAUGAAACCCUGCAGUUGGGAGAAGAUUAUGGUGUCGAACUUCCUUUUGAAACGACUAGCAUUCUUGCAACGAAAGAACUUUACCUGGGAAAUGAGAACAUGAGACGGCAAGCUGAUUACGGUUUCAAAGGGGAUGGCCAUCCUGUUAUAUCUCAAGAUGGUUUGACAAGUCGCUCACCGUCGGAGAACGAAGAAGGUACCUAUGAUAUUAAAUUUUGGUCCCAGCAAAUGUUGACUGAUGAAGAAUUAACCAUUGACGAUCAAUCUGAGACAAAGAUGCAUGAAGAUCGCAUCAUUGGUUAUACCCAGAUUGGACACCUAGGGUCUCCCAAGAUCGGGAUGGUUCCAAUGAGGUCCUUGGUCUGAAUUGCGUAGACCAGCAGUGGAUUAAUCAUGAUAUCAGACAAUUAUCAACACCAAAGUCUUCAGAACUUGAAUAUUCACCAAGUGGUGGAGUUGACUUUAACCUCAAUUUUCC
RNAcentral lists this long non-coding RNA (18138 nucleotides) under Carica papaya (papaya). Its description in RNAcentral is "long non-coding RNA (CPAP_LNC003132)". Lineage: Eukaryota; Viridiplantae; Streptophyta; Magnoliopsida; Brassicales; Caricaceae. The record is from RNAcentral.